This 546-nucleotide ribosomal RNA is filed under the name uncultured bacterium. Its description in RNAcentral is "partial 16S ribosomal RNA". It matches the Rfam family "Bacterial small subunit ribosomal RNA", at positions 355 to 889 of the family's 1533-position model. The record is from RNAcentral.
UGGGGAAUAUUGCACAAUGGGCGCAAGCCUGAUGCAGCCAUGCCGCGUGUGUGAAGAAGGCCUUCGGGUUGUAAAGCACUUUCAGCGAGGAGGAAGGUGGUGAGCUUAAUACGCUCAUCAAUUGACGUUACUCGCAGAAGAAGCACCGGCUAACUCCGUGCCAGCAGCCGCGGUAAUACGGAGGGUGCAAGCGUUAAUCGGAAUUACUGGGCGUAAAGCGCACGCAGGCGGUUUGUUAAGUCAGAUGUGAAAUCCCCGGGCUCAACCUGGGAACUGCAUUUGAAACUGGCAAGCUAGAGUCUCGUAGAGGGGGGUAGAAUUCCAGGUGUAGCGGUGAAAUGCGUAGAGAUCUGGAGGAAUACCGGUGGCGAAGGCGGCCCCCUGGACGAAGACUGACGCUCAGGUGCGAAAAGCGUGGGGAGCAAAACAGGAUUAGAUACCCUGGUAGUCCACGCUGUAAAACGAUGUCGAUUUUGGAGGUUGUGCCCUUGAGGCGUGGCUUCCGGAGCUAACGCGUUAAAUCGACCGCCUGGGGAGUACGGCCGC